Molecule: ribosomal RNA, 799 nt
Filed under: uncultured bacterium
Lineage: Bacteria
Description: bacterial SSU rRNA
Rfam family: Bacterial small subunit ribosomal RNA
Source: RNAcentral
GGGGCAAUGCGAAAGGCCUUACCAUGCAAGUCGAGGGGCAGCAUUAUUUUAGCUUGCUAAGAUAGAUGGCGACCGGCGCACGGGUGCGUAACGCGUAUGCAACCUGCCUGUAAUUAGGGAAUAACCCGGUGAAAGUCGGACUAAUACCCUAUAUUCUUCUUUUUCCGCAUGGGGAAAGACGGAAAGAUUUAUUGAUUACAGAUGGGCAUGCGUCCCAUUAGCUAGUUGGUAAGGUAACGGCUUACCAAGGCGACGAUGGGUAGGGGGACUGAGAGGUUGACCCCCCACACUGGUACUGAGACACGGACCAGACUCCUACGGGAGGCAGCAGUGAGGAAUAUUGGUCAAUGGGCGAGAGCCUGAACCAGCCAAGUCGCGUGAAGGACGACGGUUCUAUGGAUUGUAAACUUCUUUUGUAGAGGAAUAAUGGCAGCUACGUGUAGCUGAGAUGCAUGUACUCUACGAAUAAGUAUCGGCUAACUCCGUGCCAGCAGCCGCGGUAAUACGGAGGAUACGAGCGUUAUCCGGAAUUAUUGGGUUUAAAGGGUGCGUAGGUGGCGUAUUAAGUCAGUGGUGAAAAGCUGCAGCUCAACUGUAGUCUUGCCGUUGAAACUGAUAUGCUAGAGAGGAGACGAGGUAUGCGGAAUGUGUGGUGUAGCGGUGAAAUGCAUAGAUAUCACACAGAACGCCGAUUGCGAAGGCAGCGUACCAGGCUCCGUCUGACACUGAAGCACGAAAGCGUGGGGAUCAAACAGGAUUAGAUACCCUGGUAGUCCACGCAGUAAACGAUGAAUACUAG